AUCCAAGCGUUAUCCGGAAUUACUGGGCGUAAAGAGUUGCGUAGGUGGCAUUGUAAGUUGAUAGUGAAAGCGUUCGGCUCAACCGAAUAAACAUUAUCAAAACUGCAAAGCUAGAGGAUGAGAGAGGUUAUUGGAAUUCCCUGUGUAGGAGUGAAAUCCGUAGAUAUAGGGAGGAACACCGAUGGCGUAGGCAGAUAACUGGCUCAUUCCUGACACUAAGGCACGAAAGCGUGGGUAGCAAACGGGAUUAGAUACCCCGGUAGUCCACGCUGUAAACGAUGGAUGCUAGCUGUUAUCGGUAUCGACCCCGGUAGUAGCGAAGCUAACGCGUUAAGCAUCCCGCCUGUGGAGUACGGUCGCAAGACUAAAACAUAAAGGAAUUGACGGGGACCCGCACAAGCGGUGGAGCGUGUUGUUUAAUUCGAUGGUAAGCGAAGAACCUUACCCAGGUUUGACAUCCUUGGAAUUUUUACGAAAGUAGAGAGUGCUUUAUUGAACCAAGUGACAGGUGAUGCAUGGCCGUCGUCAGCUCGUGUCGUGAGAUGUUUGGUUAAGUCCAUCAACGAGCGCAACCCUUGUGAUUAGUUGAAUUUUUCUAAUCAGACUGCCCUGGUAACAGGGAGGAAGGAGGGGAUGAUGUCAGGUCAGUAUUUCCCUUAUAUCUGGGGCCACAAACACGCUACAAUGGCCGGUACAAAGGGCAGCCAAGUCGCGAGACGGAGCAAAUCCCAUCAAAGCCGGUCUCAGUUCGGAUAGCAGGCUGAAACUCGCCUGCUUGAAGUCGGAAUCGCUAGUAACGGUAGGUCAGCUAUACUACCGUGAAUACGUUCCCGGGUCUUGUACACACCGCCCGUCAAACCAUGAAAGUCGCCAAUACCUGACGUGCUAGCUUGCCUAGCCCUAAGGUAGGGGAGAUGAUUGGGGUUAAGUCGU
RNAcentral lists this ribosomal RNA (933 nucleotides) under uncultured bacterium. Its description in RNAcentral is "bacterial SSU rRNA". It matches the Rfam family "Bacterial small subunit ribosomal RNA", at positions 532 to 1489 of the family's 1533-position model. The record is from RNAcentral.